RNAcentral lists this unclassified non-coding RNA (589 nucleotides) under Hevea brasiliensis (rubber tree). Lineage: Eukaryota; Viridiplantae; Streptophyta; Magnoliopsida; Malpighiales; Euphorbiaceae. The record is from RNAcentral.
GACAAUUGCUUGUGAAAGAGAAAUAGCCCAUUUUCUCUGUGUAAAUCAAGUCUGCUUCAAAGCCCGAUUGCUUUCUGACCUCUAAAUAUUUUUAGUUUCAACCUGACUCCUCUUGUUUGAUUCCGAUUAGAAAUAGCUAUAACUAUUAUCAACUCCAGAAUUUUUUUGAUCCUAGGAAACUGAAAAUCAGAGAAAAAUGGCUACGGCAUUCAGCGGCGAUGAGACUGCUCCUUUCUUUGGCUUCCUUGGCGCUGCUGCUGCACUUGUUUUCUCCUGCAUGGGAGCUGCGUAUGGAACCGCGAAGAGCGGGGUUGGUGUGGCGUCCAUGGGUGUGAUGAGACCCGAGCUGGUGAUGAAAUCGAUUGUGCCCGUGGUUAUGGCUGGAGUUUUGGGUAUAUACGGUUUAAUUAUUGCUGUGAUUAUCAGUACUGGAAUUAAUCCCAAGGCCAAGUCUUAUUAUCUCUUCGAUGGAUACGCUCACCUCUCUUCUGGUCUCGCUUGUGGCCUUGCUGGUCUCUCUGCUGGUAUGGCAAUUGGCAUCGUAGGGGAUGCAGGUGUUAGAGCUAAUGCACAACAGCCGAAGCUUUUU